GACGAACGCUGGCGGCGUGCUUAUCACAUGCAAGUCGAACGGAAAUGCCCUGCUUUUGUGGGGUGCUCGAGUGGCGAACGGGUGAGUAACACGUGAGUAACCUUCCCUUGACUUUGGGAUAACUUCAGGAAACUGGGGCUAAUACCGGAUAGGAGCUCCUGCUGCAUGUUGGGGGGUUGGAAAGUUUCGGCGGUUGGGGAUGGACUCGCGGCUUAUCAGCUUGUUGGUGGGGUAGUGGCUUACCAAGGCUUUGACGGGUAGCCGGCCUGAGAGGGUGACCGGCCACAUUGGGACUGAGAUACGGCCCAGACUCCUACGGGAGGCAGCAGUGGGGAAUAUUGCAAGAUGGGAGGAAGCCUGAUGCAGCAACGCCGCGUGAGGGAUGACGGCCGUCGGGUUGUAAACCGCUUUCGCCUGUGACGAAGCGUGAGUGACGGUAAUGGGUAAAGAAACAACGGCUAACUAAGUG
RNAcentral lists this ribosomal RNA (469 nucleotides) under uncultured bacterium. RNAcentral's name for it is "partial 16S ribosomal RNA". It matches the Rfam family "Bacterial small subunit ribosomal RNA", at positions 28 to 507 of the family's 1533-position model. The record is from RNAcentral.